GAUGAACGCUGGCGGCGUGCCUAAUACAUGCAAGUCGAGCGAACAGACGAGGAGCUUGCUCCUCUGACGUUAGCGGCGGACGGGUGAGUAACACGUGGAUAACCUACCUAUAAGACUGGGAUAACUUCGGGAAACCGGAGCUAAUACCGGAUAAUAUAUUGAACCGCAUGGUUCAAUAGUGAAAGACGGUUUUGCUGUCACUUAUAGAUGGAUCUGCGCCGCAUUAGCUAGUUGGUAAGGUAACGGCUUACCAAGGCGACGAUGCGUAGACGACCUGAGAGGGUGAUCGGCCACACUGGAACUGAGACACGGUCCAGACUCCUACGGGAGGCAGCAGUAGGGAAUCUUCCGCAAUGGGCGAAAGCCUGACGGAGCAACGCCGCGUGAGUGAUGAAGGUCUUCGGAUCGUAAAACUCUGUUAUUAGGGAAGAACAAAUGUGUAAGUAACUAUGCACGUCUUGACGGUACCUAAUCAGAAAGCCACGGCUAACUACGUG
This 497-nucleotide ribosomal RNA is filed under the name uncultured bacterium. Its description in RNAcentral is "partial 16S ribosomal RNA". It matches the Rfam family "Bacterial small subunit ribosomal RNA", at positions 28 to 507 of the family's 1533-position model. The record is from RNAcentral.